GCAUGGUAAUGGAUUUAUGGCGGGCCUGUCUAUGUGGGCCUUUCAUGGUGUACCCAUGCCAGAGUAAGUGGCCUCUAACCAUUGCCCAGCCUCUUGUGGACUGUGAGCACUGAAGAAGGUUGCACAGUU
Small nucleolar RNA from Octodon degus (degu), 129 nucleotides. Lineage: Eukaryota; Metazoa; Chordata; Mammalia; Rodentia; Octodontidae. The record is from Ensembl.